This 460-nucleotide ribosomal RNA is filed under the name uncultured bacterium. RNAcentral's name for it is "partial 16S ribosomal RNA". It matches the Rfam family "Bacterial small subunit ribosomal RNA", at positions 338 to 795 of the family's 1533-position model. The record is from RNAcentral.
CCUACGGGUGGCAGCAGUGAGGAAUAUUGGUCAAUGGACGAAAGUCUGAACCAGCCAAGUAGCGUGAAGGAUGACUGCCCUAUGGGUUGUAAACUUCUUUUAUAAAGGAAUAAAGUGAGGCACGUGUGCCUUUUUGUAUGUACUUUAUGAAUAAGGAUCGGCUAACUCCGUGCCAGCAGCCGCGGUAAUACGGAGGAUCCGAGCGUUAUCCGGAUUUAUUGGGUUUAAAGGGAGCGUAGAUGGGUUGUUAAGUCAGUUGUGAAAGUAUGCGGCUCAACCGUAAAAUUGCAAUUGAUACUGGCAGUCUUGAGUACAGUUGAGGUAGGCGGAAUUCGUGGUGUAGCGGUGAAAUGCUUAGAUAUCACGAAGAACCCCGAUUGCGAAGGCAGCUUACUAAACUGUGACUGACAUUGAUGCUCGAAAGUGUGGGUAUCAAACAGGAUUAGAUACCCGAGGAGUC